This 253-nucleotide ribosomal RNA is filed under the name uncultured bacterium. RNAcentral's name for it is "partial 16S ribosomal RNA". It matches the Rfam family "Bacterial small subunit ribosomal RNA", at positions 524 to 776 of the family's 1533-position model. The record is from RNAcentral.
UACGUAGGCAGCGAGCGUUGUUCGGAGUUACUGGGCGUAAAGAGUGCGUAGGCGGUUGUCUGAGUUUGGCGUGAAAUCUCCCGGCUUAACCGGGAGGGUGCGCCGAGGACUGGAGGGCUGGAGUAUGGGAGAGGUAAGCGGAAUUCCUGGUGUAGCGGUGAAAUGCGUAGAUAUCAGGAGGAACACCAGCGGUGUAGACGGCUUACUGGACCAUAACUGACGCUGAGGCACGAAAGCGUGGGUAGCAAACAGG